This 253-nucleotide ribosomal RNA is filed under the name uncultured bacterium. RNAcentral's name for it is "partial 16S ribosomal RNA". It matches the Rfam family "Bacterial small subunit ribosomal RNA", at positions 524 to 776 of the family's 1533-position model. The record is from RNAcentral.
CACGGACUGCACGAACGUUAUUCGGUAUCACUGGGCUUAAAGGGUGCGUAGGCGGCUUUGCAAGUUGGGUGUGAAAGCCCUCGGCUCAACCGAGGAAUUGCGCUCAAUACUGCCGAGCUCGAGAGAGACAGAGGUAAGCGGAACUAAUGGUGGAGCGGCGAAAUGCGUUGAUAUCAUUAGGAACACCGGUGGCGAAGGCGGCUUACUGGGUCUUUUCUGACGCUGAGGCACGAAAGCCAGGGGAGCGAACGGG